AAUCAACGCUGGCGGCGUGCCUAACACAUGCAAGUCGCACGAGAAAGGGUAGCAAUACCUGAGUAAAGUGGCGCACGGGUGAGUAACACGUGACUAACCUACCUCCGAGUGGGGAAUAACUUCGGGAAACCGAGGCUAAUACCGCAUAACACUUACGAGUCAAAGCAGCAAUGCGCUUGGAGAGGGGGUCGCGGCAGAUUAGCUAGUUGGCGGGGUAAUGGCCCACCAAGGCGAUGAUCUGUAUCCGGCCUGAGAGGGCGCACGGACACACUGGAACUGAAACACGGUCCAGACUCCUACGGGAGGCAGCAGUGGGGAAUUUUGCGCAAUGGGGGAAACCCUGACGCAGCAACGCCGCGUGGAGGAUGAAGUCUCUUGGG
Molecule: ribosomal RNA, 380 nt
Filed under: uncultured Acidobacteriota bacterium
Lineage: Bacteria; Pseudomonadati; Acidobacteriota
Description: bacterial SSU rRNA
Rfam family: Bacterial small subunit ribosomal RNA
Source: RNAcentral